CCCCCUGCUCCUCCGCCGUUCCCUCCUCCUUCCACCCCCAGUUCCACCUGCUUCCGAGCCAGAGCAAAGACUCGACGACGCGGAGCAAAGACUCCCAGACCCAACGCACCCAACGCGAUCCCCUUCUCUCGCCGGCGCCGCCCCGUAUCCACCCUGCUCCGGCCCGCAUCUCCUCCGGCGACGCGGCCGGCUGGCUUGCCGACGCCCGCGUGCAUCAAUGCGCGCGGCGUCGUCGAGCUGGCCGGACCGGCUCGCACAUCUCGGCCGUGGGCAUUCGGAGGAGCUCCACGCGCUGCGGCGGCGUCGCGGAGCACGGAGAGACGUCGUCCACGACGCGCUCCGAGGAACCAGUGGAGGAGGUGGCGCCCGCCGAUUCCGCCGCCGCUCCUCACCAGAAUCCUCCGCUGCUCAAGUGCCCGGCGGCCGGCGUCUUUGCAAGAGGCCGUGGUCGCGCAGGAUCUGCAGAGGACGUAUGCAGGAGGCGUCCCCCGAGCUACCGUCCAAAGGACGUUGCCCCGAAGCCCCACCACUGCUACCUCGCUGCCGCUGGUCAGGACCUUGUCAACACCUAAAGCACAGGGAGGACUGGAUGUGUUGCACAAGUUCCUGGAGCAUUACGUCCGCCGGUCCAGCGUCUUCUUGUACUCUGUCACCGCCGUCGUCUUCAAGGUCCUGCUCUUGUUCUGAUUCCUCUUGCGUGGCUUUUGAACUCAUGUUCGUCUUCUCUGCAGAUUUUGUUUCAGGAAUAAAUAGCUCCCUGUUCUUGCUUAUGUGUAAAUCUAAUGCUGGGUGAGAAACAAACAGAAUAUAGUUGUGUUUUGUCUACCAUGUGUAAAUUUAAUGCGACAAACUGCAAUAAUGAUUUCUAGAACUUGUUAUCUGUUUGCUAGUUAUUGUGUGUAGCGUGAGUUUUUUUCGAAACAUUGGUAGCACAUGUUGACAUGUUGUGGAUAGUCAGUCGAUGAGAGCAUUUGUUAGCAGAUCCUUCUAUAUUUAGUGUCCAUGUGUAUUAUUGGUUAAUUGAUUAAACUACUAGUGUCCAGCCUCUAUAAGUAAAUCUGUUGCUCCUUUUUUUUAAUCAGUUCGGAUUAUCAUACAUAUGAAUGUAAUGUUCUUGUUAAAAAUCCUCUACUGCAGAUUUCUAAUAUUUUUUGUACUUCACUUUUUAUGUCACCCUAUCGCCAUGAAUAUGUAUUGAUUUAUGCUUCUGUGCAUAUUUGUAUGUAUGCGGCCCUGGAAGUGGCCACAACUUGCUGGAGAUGUAGCUGCUCGCCCACAUGGCAAACCGUAGCGACCUUGUGAUCAAAGGUUCAGAUUGAUGGUGAACAGAGUGGUUAAAUGACUGAAUGCUCAAACGUUUGUUGAGGCUUGAAAGCUUUUAUUCUAGAUUAGAUAUUGAGGUCCUUGAUCAACUUGGGAGCUAUCAUUUGACGCAAUCAUGCGCAGACGCAGAUGAUUACAUGUCCAGGAGCUUAACUCCGUGGCUACCUCGCCGCCACCGUCCAGUAGUUCAUCAAUAUUAGCACCAAAAGACAUGUAGGUACUACUGAAACUUACCCCUUGUAGCAGUAAUAACAUGGUAGAUUACAGGGAGCUCGUGAAACCUGGCUUCCGAGUUAUCGCCAGGAGCAAGGAGAUGGUGCCAUUGAGUGUGUGUAUGGUCCCCAGCUGAUGAGGAAUUUGUGAUGCUGCAAUAUUUUGCUUUGUAAUCUUGUGAUGGAGCUGAUUUGUGUAUUUUGCUGAUCUAAGGAUCGAUGCGUUUGUGGUAUUCAUUAUUAUUACUCACUUUGUCUGUAAAAGCAUGUCUUGACUUUGUCUAAA
Lolium perenne is the source of this 1821-nucleotide RNA transcript. RefSeq lists it as uncharacterized. NCBI's taxonomy places the organism in Eukaryota, Viridiplantae, Streptophyta, Magnoliopsida, Poales, Poaceae. The record is from RefSeq and is a predicted model, not a curated record.